GUGCUCGCUUCGGCAGCACAUAUACUAAAAUUGGAAUGAUACAGAGAAGAUUAGCAUGGCCCCUGUGCAAGGAUGACAUGCAAAUUCGUGAAGCAUUCCAUAUUUUU
Cavia aperea (Brazilian guinea pig) is the source of this 107-nucleotide small nuclear RNA. The record is from Ensembl. Lineage: Eukaryota; Metazoa; Chordata; Mammalia; Rodentia; Caviidae.